UGGGGUUGUUGUUAUUAGUUUGUUAGAAAAGAAGGAAAUUUGUGUGCAGAAGGGGAUAGUUUAAGGUUAAGGAUCAUUGUGUUCCUUAUCUUCUGCUAAACAUCAUGCCAGAACGAUAUCCGAAAACUAUGAGAUUUUUGAGCCUUGUGGGAAAUUCAUUUGGAUGCUCUGCGUCAGGCGAGCGGUUAGUUUCUGCAGCUAGA
Molecule: unclassified non-coding RNA, 203 nt
Filed under: Hevea brasiliensis (rubber tree)
Lineage: Eukaryota; Viridiplantae; Streptophyta; Magnoliopsida; Malpighiales; Euphorbiaceae
Source: RNAcentral